RNAcentral lists this long non-coding RNA (1851 nucleotides) under Homo sapiens (human). RNAcentral's name for it is "HSALNT0044236". The record is from RNAcentral. Lineage: Eukaryota; Metazoa; Chordata; Mammalia; Primates; Hominidae.
UAGCAUGGGCCCGGAAAAGAAGCAAAGGACCAGAAGACAGAAUGCAGUAGAGUCGUCGACGCCAUCCAUGUUAGUCAAACCCCUGGGUCAUGGAGCCAGAUGAAGAAGGAGGGCAAACAGAAGGAUGGCAGCAUGAACUCAGCUGGGCCCCGUGGUCCUCAGCCCAGCCCUCGGCAGAAGCAGUGAAUUCAGCCAUAACUACAGCAGAGUCUGAUCAUUCUCCUGAUGAAAUUACACUGAUCUAAUUUGCACGCUGUGAAGACAUUUGGCACUGGCUGGAUCUGAGCCUUGACAUCUUCAUUGGAACUAAAAGUACACUAAGAACUGACAUUACGUUUCACAUUCUUUUCUGCCAGGCUGUGGCAUUUCAUCCUCUUUAAAGGCAUUAUUUCAAGAACAUUUAAUUUGGCUUUGAUAUGCCUGCCAUUUUGCUGGGUGGAACAUACUGCGCCAGAAAAGCUCAGCUGUAAUAAAGUUUGGCACCAACAGCUCACCAUAUACCUGCACCAUCCUGUGCAAUUUAAUUGGCAUUCAGUGGGUUGAUAAAUGGAUUGGCUUAAUGAGACAAUAUACUUGACAUAUGCAGAACUCUCCUGAGGAAUAGGAUUCAUUUUUUCACUUCACACAUCAACAUGUUACAGAUACCAACACAGUCACCUCCAGCAGUUGCACUGUAGCCAAUGGACGCCUUCCAUUGUGUUGACCAGUAAUAUUACCUUCCAGCUAUCUCACUCCUUCCUCUUUUAGCACAAAAGUAUGUUUUAAAUUUCAUUGUCUUUUAUAUUUUCUCAGAUAUAAGGCAUAAGAUAGGCUCCAUGUUUAAUUUACAUAAAUCUGUAUUAUCUCAGCAGAUCAUACAGCUUUUUUUGGUGUCUAAACAGAUUAGUUUUACCUACUGUAAAAUGACAUAACUAUAAAAUACAUGUAAUAAUGAAUUCUAGGUAUAACUACUGGCAUAUGCAAUCAUGUAAUUGAGAAGGUGGGUGACAUUCUAUCUUCAGAAAUGUUGGCUUCAAGAAUAAAUUAAUUAAAACAAAAAAGAAACACCAUUUUCACUCCUCAGAUUAGCUAAGAUGAAAAAGAACCAUAAUGCUGGGUGUUGGCAGGGGAUCCAGGAAAUAAAUGCCUCAUGCUCUGCUGGUGGGAUUCUAAAUUAAUACAACUUUUUUUGCAAGGCCAUUGGCAAUAUGUAUCAAAAACCUUAAGAAUGGGUAUAGCCUUUCACUAAGCACUUUCACUUCUCAAAAUAUACCCCAAGCAAAUAAAGACAUGCCAAAGAUUAAUAUUUGAGAGUGAUCAUCACAUUAAGUAUAAUAGAAAAAAUUAAAACCAUCUAGAUAUCUUAAAAAAGAGAUUGAAUAAAAUGUGGAAUACCUAUAGUCUAGAAUACUAUACUGCUAUUAAAAUGAUGUAGUAGAAAUAUUUAUAAUGAAAAAAUGUUCUUGAUGCCUUUUAUGCUGAAAAAGUAUUAUAAAACACUAGGUUCAUUAUUGGUCAUUAAAAAAAUUACAUAUAAAACACAUUUAUACCCAUACUAAAAAAAGUCAAAGGACAAAUACCAACAUAGUAAUAAUGCGUGCCUCUGGAGAUAGGGAUUAUUAUCUGUGUUUUUUUUUCUUUAUGCUUAUCUGUAUUUUUUAAUCAAAUAAGUUAUUUAAAAGACUUAGAUAAGAUGGCAUUUUAAACUUAUCAAGAAAUUUCUUUCUGACCAAAAUUUGAUUUGGGAAAAUUCUUUACUGUGUCAUAAGUCAAAUUAUGCUUGUAUAAUUCAAUUCUUUUUAUUGUUCCAGGUCAUUUAAGUAUUCAGUAGAGUAGCUGUCCAGAUAGAUAAACCAUCUUAGACAAAUGAAG